GACGAACGCUGGCGGCGUGCUUAACACAUGCAAGUCGAGCGGGGCGGCGAACGGGUGAGUAACGCGUGAGUAACUGCCCCCCUCUCUGGGGUAACAGUUGGAAACGGCUGCUAAUACCGGAUAGUGGGGGAUGACUCGCGUCCUAUCAGCUUGUUGGUCGGGUAGUGGCGUACCAAGGCGACGACGGGUAGCCGGCCUGGGAAGUGGACCGGCCACAUGGGUCUGAGAUACGCCCCAAACUGCUACGUGAGGCAGCAGGCGCGAAUAUUGCGCAAUGGGGGAAACUCUGAUGCAGCAGCGCGCGUGCGGGAUGACGGCCUUCGGGUUGUAAACCGCUUUCAGCCAUUACCCGGUAGUGGCAGAAGAAGCACCGGCUAACUACGUGCCAGCAGCCGCGGUAAUAC
Molecule: ribosomal RNA, 404 nt
Filed under: uncultured bacterium
Lineage: Bacteria
Description: partial 16S ribosomal RNA
Rfam family: Bacterial small subunit ribosomal RNA
Source: RNAcentral